AGGAAUCUCUCUUAAAAAUAGGAUUAAAAGGGGAGACAGAUUUUGCUUUCAAGCGCAAUCUAAAUACAGACUCCCAUUUCAAAGUCAUUAUCAAUGUGUACUAAAAACAUCAAAAUAUUAAUGGGAAAAAAGCAAAACCUGAAUUUGAAGACGAAUACCAUCAGAGAAGAACAAAUGCCACCAAGAUAAAAGCAAGGUUACACACAACUACAGUGAUCUGAUCCAUGUAAUUAUCUUAUUACUUAGAUUCUUCUAUGAAACCACUACAACAGUGCAAGCAUUCUAUUUAACUAUUGUAAACUAUUGUAACAAAGUAUAUUUUUUCCAUCCCUCCAACUUUGACCAAUGAAGGGCCUAUGAACCCUUUUUCAAGCAGUUGAUGUUUUGAUUGAUAAUCACCACAUCUGGCGUAUCGGAUGAUGAAAAUACCCUUGAAUCUAGGGCAUUAUGUAGACAAAUGUAGAAGUAGGGCAAUACUAAGCUAAUCAAGCAUGUCAAGGAGCAUUGCAUGGAGAUACUCAUUCUACAUUCCUGCACAUCAGAGUUGGCAACACCAGUAGGCAUAGUGUUCAUCCUUGCGAUGGUUACUAACAAGACCUCCACAUUGUAAACAGAUGAAGCUGUUCCCAUCGGAGAAUGCAUCCAACACAACUUGCGUCCUGCCAGUUUCUGCAAGUAUAGAAUUUCCAUGAGCAUCGGAUGGCAGGCCACCUACAUUAAGCAGUGAUGGUUCCACUUUAGAGGGCUGGACUUCAGCAAUUGCACACUCAGCAAACAGAACAGCGAGUUGAUCAACAGCAGUGUGCUCUUGCAACCUAUUUCUGUACAGCUCUCGAGCACGGUGCAGUGACUGAAACACAGCCUCAUCCCCACCUUGGGUACGCAUUGCCAUGACAACCUGUUCCAAUCAAUUGAUCUGUAAUAUGUUCUGAUGAUUUCUUUUUAAAAUUUCAAGCCCUAAAUAUGAAGUUAACAUUCUCUGUACACUUCAUAGAGACCUUUGAACUAUGUAUAUACUCACUUUCACUACAAAUCUUCUCAAGAAAACAUCAUGGAAUGUUCCACAAGUAGUGACAACUUAUCACAAAAAUCCCUUAAGUAACGCACAGAACAUUCACUGACAAGAAAAAUAAUAACUCUUCGAAAUAAAACCACAUUCUUUCCUAUGUUCAUUUUAAUAAGCACGAUCCAAUCAUCCCAAUUGUUUGAAAAGAGAGAGAACAAGAAGAAAAAUUAUUUUAAAUGUUUUCAAAGGCUCCAUUUGUUUCACGAAAAACAUUUUUGUGAAAAAUAUUUUUCGUAUUUUCU
This 1308-nucleotide unclassified non-coding RNA is filed under the name Hevea brasiliensis (rubber tree). Lineage: Eukaryota; Viridiplantae; Streptophyta; Magnoliopsida; Malpighiales; Euphorbiaceae. The record is from RNAcentral.